AUACGUAGGGGGCGAGCGUUGUCCGGAUUUAUUGGGCGUAAAGGGUUCGCAGGCGGCCUUUUAAGUCAGAUGUGAAAGAUCACGGCUCAACCGUGGUAAGCAUUUGAAACUGGAAGGCUUGAGUUAAGGAGAGGAAAGUGGAAUUCCUAGUGUAGCGGUGAAAUGCGUAGAUAUUAGGAGGAAUACCAGUGGCGAAGGCGACUUUCUGGACUUAUACUGACGCUGAGGAACGAAAGCGUGGGGAGC
Molecule: ribosomal RNA, 246 nt
Filed under: uncultured bacterium
Lineage: Bacteria
Description: partial 16S ribosomal RNA
Rfam family: Bacterial small subunit ribosomal RNA
Source: RNAcentral